This is an RNA transcript of Brachypodium distachyon (stiff brome), 3046 nucleotides long. It is a transcript of the gene named sphingoid long-chain bases kinase 1, with no coding region annotated. The record is from RefSeq and is a predicted model, not a curated record. NCBI's taxonomy places the organism in Eukaryota, Viridiplantae, Streptophyta, Magnoliopsida, Poales, Poaceae. The transcript has 12 exons.
GGGAGCAACAAAAACUCCAUUGUUCGGCUCUCCUCCUCGAUCCCCUCACCAGAGGGAUCUCUCCUCUUCUCCCCUCUUCGUCGCCGCCUGCCGGCGCGGCGCCGUGGCCCCCCUUUGGCUGCUGAGCUGAGAGUUCUUGAUUUGGUUUGGAGCCGUGGGCGGCUUCCUCGCGCCGAGAGAGAUUGAUCAUGGGCUCGAGGAGCUUCGUCCGAUCCCCGGUAUCCUGCAGUGCUGUAAAUGAAUUCUUUACCUGCAGUUCACACUGUUCAAGAAACUACUAUCAGUGUUCUAAUACCAUGAAGUCACAAAGAGCGCAAGUUGGCCAGACGCUUUUGCCUCGCAAAUUAAGGAAAUCGACUCGGUGGCAGACAGCUCUUUUCACCCAGAGGCGGAUUGUAUCAAACUGUUGCUCUGAUCUUAGUACCACUUACACAGAGGAAGUGCCAAACUAUUUAGCACUUAAUGUUUUGCAAGACCAAUCUAAUACCGGACAAGAUAAUAUUCGUAAAGUACUUGUCAUCUUGAAUCCUAAUUCUGGAUUCCGUAGCUCUCGUGCGGUUUUCUACAAGAAAGUGCAAUCAACACUGAAGCUUUCAGGCUUCACGAUGAAAGUUGUUGAAACAGCCUAUGCUGGUCAUGCAAAGGUCCUUGCUUCUACUGUUGACCUCAGCACAUGCCCUGAUGGUAUUAUAUGUGUCGGGGGCGAUGGAGUUGUAAAUGAGGUUUUGAAUGGUUUACUUGGUAGAGAUGAUCUAAAAGAGGCGCUUCAACUGCCCAUUGGGAUUGUUCCUGCUGGUUCUGAUAAUUCAUUAGUGUGGACUGUCCUUGGCAUCAGAGAUCCUGUGUCUGCAGCAACUGCUUUAGCUAAGGGUGGUUUCACACCAAUUGAUGUGUUUGCUGUAAAAUGGAUCCAAGCAGGAGUUACUCAUUUUGGUUUGACAGCUUCUUUUUGUGGUUUCGUAGCUGAUGUGCUGCAGCUAUCUGAAAACUUCCGCCUGCAGCUUGGGCCCUUCCGCUACGUCAUUGCUGGUCUUCUUAAGUUCCUGUCCUUACCCCAAUACAGAUUUGAGGUGGAUUAUCUGCCUUCACCAGGGAGAAAUCCUGAACUGAAGUCACCAACUCAAAACUGCUGUGACCAGCUUUCUGAUGGUAGCAAGGUUAAGAGGGGUAGCACCGAAGAUAAUUGGGUUAUGAGGAAAGGGGAAUUUCUUGGCAUUUUGGUCUGCAACCACUUCUGCAAGCCUGCCCAGGGGUUACUUUCUCCAGUUAUGGCGCCAAAAGCUCAGCACGAUGAUGGGAGUCUGGACUUGAUUCUUAUCCAUGGAAGUGGCAGACUCAGAUUAUUUUGCUUCUUUGUUGCCUAUCAGUUUUGCUGGCAUCUUCUACUCCCUUUUGUGGAAUAUGUCAAGGUAAAACAAGUAAAGAUUAGGCCAGUUGGUGGUACCCACAAUGGUUGUGGUGUCGACGGUGAGCUUCUUCAGGGGGAGGGCCAAGCGGAAUGGCAGUGCUCUCUGCUCCCAGCACAAGUUCCUUCUCGACGACGCGGUGCUAUGGAUGUCUCACUAUUGGCCUAUCGCUGCUUUAUCGCCUUCUAUUCACAUCUGCAAUAUCUUCCAUGUAAACAGGUAAAGAUUAGGCCAGUCGGCAACACCCACAAUGGUUGUGGUGUCGAUGACGAGCUUCUUCAAGCAGAGACCAAGUGGAAUAGGACUAUAGGAGGAAGCGGAGAAUCGAUGCACUGUCAAAUGUUUCUCCGACCAACAUUUUGACCCACCUUUUAUCAGGAACGCCACCGAUCACAUGGUGUUUUCAGGGAGCCGGAAGCACUGAAGUAACUCAAAGUAAUUCAGCAAGUAGCCUGCACAAUGCAAGUAGAGAACGUUGCAAUUAGUGUCGGAGCAAGAAACAAAGUUCCAAAGUCACUCAACCCCUUCAAUCCAUCAGCUAUCAGCUACAAGAGAGGUCAAAACUGAAAAUAUAAGUUGGUUCACUCCAGCAUCUCAAGCAAUGCACCACAAGGGCAUGAAGUUGGGAGAGAAUCAAUUAGGCUCCUUUUUGGGAGCGAUUCAUCCUUCCAACACACAUCUCCUCAGUCAAGGGUCUUCCGAGACGCUUACCAUUCCAAGUGAGUCAGAAGGAAUCCGGUUAUACCUGAUCUAACUUCUGAGCAAACCUGUUUUGUUAUUUCAGUUCAUUGCCAGCAACUCUGGAGUGCUAAUCACCAUUCAAAAAAUAAUAGUGUGGUAAACCAAAAUAUCUCCACGGUUGGAACCGGUAAUGAUUUCUGUUUGCAAUCCAUAAAUUCCAGCCAAACACGGCAUGGGUCAUGACUUAUGAUCAAUGGUCCAAUCACAAGAGUUGUGCAACAACGUAAACAUCUUAUAAAGACAUACCAAGAAAAUUUUGCUAGUACAUCUUACAAUCCUAAGUUUAUCUCGCCCACUUGACAUUUAUUAUUCUAAAAACACUAGGAUAACCUUGCCAGUUCUGAACAUCUUACAAUCCUAACUUUAUCCUUUUUUUCCCUGGCCCACUUGAUUUUUGUUAUUCUAAAAAAUAUAUCUUGGACCUGUACCUUGUUGUUUUUGUGCUCCUGAAACUAAUUGCACCUCAUGCUCCACUCAAUCUAUUGCUUGCAUAGUAGAUUGCCGAGUUAAGAAAUUACCUGUAUUGACCUAAGACGACACUCGGUUUCGCAACCAUUGUUUGCAGGUAAAAGAAGUAAAGAUUAGGGUAGUCGGCAAUACCUACAGUGGUUGUGGUGUCGGCGACGAGCUUAUUCAGACGGAGGGUCAAGUGGAAUAGCAGCGCUCUCUGCUCCCACAUGAAGCCGGUUACUUGGACGGCAUCCCAGAACUUAGAAGUAGGUUUUGAAUUGAACUCACCCACCAGUCAUAUGUUUUCGUUCCAAACAAUGUUGCAUUGUGCCAAUGUACCCAUUAAAUUCAGUGUGAAGCAGAGAAUCGAUGCGCUGUAAAAUGUUUCUUCUGCAAAUCAUUUUUGACACACUAUUUGUCAGGCUGUAAAUCAGAGGGUAUUUCCAGGU